GCCUGGCUGGCUCAGUUGGUAGAGCACGUGACUCUUGAUCUGGGUCAUGAAUUCAAGCCCCAUGUUGGGUA
This 71-nucleotide transfer RNA is filed under the name Ailuropoda melanoleuca (giant panda). It matches the Rfam family "tRNA". From Rfam's summary of the family: Transfer RNA (tRNA) molecules are approximately 80 nucleotides in length. Their secondary structure includes four short double-helical elements and three loops (D, anti-codon, and T loops). Further hydrogen bonds mediate the characteristic L-shaped molecular structure. tRNAs have two regions of fundamental functional importance: the anti-codon, which is responsible for specific mRNA codon recognition, and the 3' end, to which the tRNAs corresponding amino acid is attached (by aminoacyl-tRNA synthetases). tRNAs cope with the degeneracy of the genetic code in two manners: having more than one tRNA (with a specific anti-codon) for a particular amino acid; and 'wobble' base-pairing, i.e. permitting non-standard base-pairing at the 3rd anti-codon position. The record is from Rfam by way of RNAcentral. Lineage: Eukaryota; Metazoa; Chordata; Mammalia; Carnivora; Ursidae.